Triticum dicoccoides is the source of this 469-nucleotide long non-coding RNA. RefSeq lists it as uncharacterized. The transcript has 3 exons. The record is from RefSeq and is a predicted model, not a curated record. Lineage: Eukaryota; Viridiplantae; Streptophyta; Magnoliopsida; Poales; Poaceae.
CAGUGUUGGUGCUAGGAAAGUUAACCUCGCCUGCGAGCACUUUCGCCAGUUCUACAAGGCAAAAAACAAAGAAGGGUGUCUCGCGGCAUUGAAUCUUCUUAGGAACGAGUUCUAUGAUGUGCGCGGCAGGCUACAGGCCAUUAUGCAGUUGGAGCAGCAGAUUGCAGCCUUGGGUCCUAAGUAGCAGUAAUUGAAGCCAAAAGAGCAUAGCCCCGUGUGAUCUGGCAUGAUGCGGGGGAUGUAUCUCUCAAGAUGUAGUCAGCAUUCAGCAGUUGCUGGGCUUUUGGAGGGGGAAGCGUGGAAUCACAUGACGAUUCUUGCUUUGGCACUCCGGGCUCGCGACCACCCUGCAAAUGGAACUUGUUGUCUUGUGUGUCGAUGUCUUUGUCUAUCAACACUAUAUACUCGUGUGUCAUGGAUGGCCUGUUGGCUAUGCGUAAACUCUAUAUUUGGUUGGUUUCUUUUUGGC